AGUGAACGCUGGCGGUAGGCCUAACACAUGCAAGUCGAACGGCAGCACAGUAAGAGCUUGCUCUUACGGGUGGCGAGUGGCGGACGGGUGAGGAAUACAUCGGAAUCUACUUUUUCGUGGGGGAUAACGUAGGGAAACUUACGCUAAUACCGCAUACGACCUACGGGUGAAAGCAGGGGAUCUUCGGACCUUGCGCGAUUGAAUGAGCCGAUGUCGGAUUAGCUAGUUGGCGGGGUAAAGGCCCACCAAGGCGACGAUCCGUAGCUGGUCUGAGAGGAUGAUCAGCCACACUGGAAGUGAGACACGGUCCAGACUCCUACGGGAGGCAGCAGUGGGGAAUAUUGGACAAUGGGCGCGAGCCUGAUCCAGCCAUACCGCGUGGGUGAAGAAGGCCUUCGGGUUGUAAAGCCCUUUUGUUGGGAAAGAAAAGCAGCAGGUUAAUACCCCGCUGUUCUGACGGUACCCAAAGAAUAAGCACCGGCUAACUUCGUG
This 492-nucleotide ribosomal RNA is filed under the name uncultured bacterium. RNAcentral describes it as "partial 16S ribosomal RNA". It matches the Rfam family "Bacterial small subunit ribosomal RNA", at positions 29 to 507 of the family's 1533-position model. The record is from RNAcentral.